This is a non-coding RNA of Coffea arabica (coffee), 822 nucleotides long. Lineage: Eukaryota; Viridiplantae; Streptophyta; Magnoliopsida; Gentianales; Rubiaceae. The record is from RefSeq and is a predicted model, not a curated record.
AACUCCCUAAAACAUGAAAACCAUAUAAAUAAAUGAAAGUUCAGAAUAAAAGCAUGAAAGGUUAAGAAGGACUGAAGCUUUUACUCCGGUGCCAAUUCCAGCUAACUUAGCUGACGCUUUCAUGAUUUCAUGGAAUAUCUUGCGGACUGUCCGUCUCUAGUUUUUCAUUGGAUUCUAUUUUGAGUAAUUGCCUUUCCAUUCACAAGACAAGAUGGUCGUGUCGACCGACCCUUUUCGGAUGCAAACUUUGGAGUGAACCUGAAACUUGUAUUUCCAUUUAAAGAAGAUUAGAUGUUUGUUGUUUUUUUCAAUCUGGGUAAUCAACGACAAUCACAGGCCGGUGUUUACGUUUGACCCAGCUUUUCAAAAGAGUAUAUUGAUGUUUGUUUGGGUGGCGCGGCUGUACAUACUCAUAUGGAGAGAGUCCCACACCGACUGGAGAAGAAGCAGAUUGUUGACGGGGUGAUAAAUAAAAGGCCCAGACGGGCGCCAGGGAGAAAGCCAUGAUCCUUCAGGCAGUUUACGGGGAUGUGAUGAGCGGUCAAAGCUCGCAUUUAAACAUGCGAGAUGGGUGCCCGGCCCAAAGCCUGGUUACGACAACCCGGGCGCUCCCAUAUUUACCGAUCUGAUCCCUUCUUUCUUUCUUUCUUUGCUUUUCUGCCGAGUCCCUUGUAACCGGAUAAAAAGCCUUUUUUGUUUUUUUGUUUUCUUUUAAAAAAUGAUUCUUCUAUUGGAUCCAUUCCAUCCUAUCCAACCCAAAACUUGUUUUUUUUUUCCCCCUGUUGGUUUCAGUCCACGAUAAUGACUACCUCCUCAAUUUGC